This 497-nucleotide ribosomal RNA is filed under the name uncultured bacterium. RNAcentral describes it as "partial 16S ribosomal RNA". It matches the Rfam family "Bacterial small subunit ribosomal RNA", at positions 28 to 507 of the family's 1533-position model. The record is from RNAcentral.
GAUGAACGCUGGCGGCGUGCCUAAUACAUGCAAGUCGAGCGAACAGACGAGGAGCUUGCUCCUCUGACGUUAGCGGCGGACGGGUGAGUAACACGUGGAUAACCUACCUAUAAGACUGGGAUAACUUCGGGAAACCGGAGCUAAUACCGGAUAAUAUAUUGAACCGCAUGGUUCAAUAGUGAAAGACGGUUUUGCUGUCACUUAUAGAUGGAUCCGCGCCGCAUUAGCUAGUUGGUAAGGUAACGGCUCACCAAGGCAACGAUGCGUAGCCGACCUGAGAGGGUGAUCGGCCACACUGGAACUGAGGCACGGUCCAGACUCCUACGGGAGGCAGCAGUAGGGAAUCUUCCGCAAUGGGCGAAAGCCUGACGGAGCAACGCCGCGUGAGUGAUGAAGGUCUUCGGAUCGUAAAACUCUGUUAUUAGGGAAGAACAAAUGUGUAAGUAACUAUGCACGUCUUGACGGUACCUAAUCAGAAAGCCACGGCUAACUACGUG